CGGGAACGGGUGAGUAACGCGUGGGGAACCUGCCUACAAAGAGGGGACAACAGUUGGAAACGACUGCUAAUACCGCAUAAGCCCACGGCUCGGCAUCGAGCAGAGGGAAAAGGAGCAAUCCGCUUUGAGAUGGCCUCGCGUCCGAUUAGCUAGUUGGUGAGGUAACGGCCCACCAAGGCGACGAUCGGUAGCCGGACUGGGAGGUUGAACGGCCACAUUGGGACUGAGACACGGCCCAG
RNAcentral lists this ribosomal RNA (239 nucleotides) under uncultured bacterium. RNAcentral's name for it is "partial 16S ribosomal RNA". It matches the Rfam family "Bacterial small subunit ribosomal RNA", at positions 100 to 334 of the family's 1533-position model. The record is from RNAcentral.